UCGGGAAUUUUGGGCAAUGGGCGAAAGCCUGACCCAGCAACGCCGCGUGAAGGAUGAAGUAUUUCGGUAUGUAAACUUCGAAAGAAUAGGAAGAAUAAAUGACGGUACUAUUUAUAAGGUCCGGCUAACUACGUGCCAGCAGCCGCGGUAAUACGUAGGGACCAAGCGUUGUUCGGAUUUACUGGGCGUAAAGGGCGCGUAGGCGGCAAUUCAAGUCAUCUGUGAAAUCUCCGGGCUUAACUCGGAACGGUCAGAUGAUACUGCUUUGCUAGAGUGCAGAAGGGGCAAUCGGAAUUCUUGGUGUAGCGGUGAAAUGCGUAGAUAUCAAGAGGAACACCUGAGGUGAAGACGGGUUGCUGGGCUGACACUGACGCCGAGGCGCGAAAGCCAGGGGAGCAAACGGGAUUAGAUACCCCUGUAGUCCCUGAGCGGGCUGGCAAGGCGCAU
This 447-nucleotide ribosomal RNA is filed under the name uncultured bacterium. RNAcentral describes it as "bacterial SSU rRNA". It matches the Rfam family "Bacterial small subunit ribosomal RNA", at positions 355 to 825 of the family's 1533-position model. The record is from RNAcentral.